CUGGGUCCCUCCUUGUCACCCCCAGAUCCGCCACCACGGUCUAACUCCAGCAUUGCGUCCCUUCCAAAUCCACGUUCGGUGUGGCUAUUAGUCGUGGCCGGAGCUAAUGGAGACGGCGGCGUCUAGAAGUGUUGGAUCCAGCGGACGAGUGGCCAAUCCUGGUGGCAGCGGGGCAGAUCCACUAGAUCCACGGUGGAUCCGGCUUGCGGGGGAUGUAGAGGCGAUGGAUCUCCUUCGGGCUUGAGGCGUGGGUCUCCGAGGAUGGAUGGCUAUUGGUCAUGGUCGAUGCAAAGUUGCUGGGCAACCGUUACACAAGGAAGCAUGGCAUGAUUCGCUAGCUGACCGUAGUGCGAGGAGGCGAAGCGUGGCCCACUGAGCAUGGCUCACCGGCCAAGCGCGGAGUGAGACCGCAGCUCGGUGUCGCCAUCCGGUAGGUGUCCGUGCAAUCUGGACUGGACGAGGACGAUCCCAUCUGCCAGGUAUCCCACCCAUCCACUCCCCUUCCCCUUCCCUAUGCGUUCGUGAUAUAUGGUCGUCAGUGUCAGCAAGUUAAUAUCUCCGUUGAUUUGUUUGAAAACAGAUAGCAGUAGAGAGAGGAGAAUAUAUAUCAUGUACUCUGACAGAUCUAGCCCUGCUUGCUAGCCGCAGGUUGUGUGUGUACACAUGGCCAGCAAAAUGCAGUAGUGAUUGUUUCAAUCUAUCAGAUUAAUUUCUGAUGAAUUUACUUGUAUUUUCAUGUUUGAUUCUGUUCAGACAUUCUGACAUUGGGGGGUAAGAAGCAAGCUUCAGGCUCAAAUGUACUCGGUAUAAAAUAAUCCUUCCUUCA
Molecule: long non-coding RNA, 826 nt
Organism: Sorghum bicolor (sorghum)
Lineage: Eukaryota; Viridiplantae; Streptophyta; Magnoliopsida; Poales; Poaceae
Exons: 2
Source: RefSeq, a predicted model, not a curated record